AUCUUCCUCAAAAAAAAUAGUGAGCACCUUGUCUGUGCCAGCCUUGUGCUAGGGGCUGGGACACAGCAUGAGUAAGACAUGGUUUCUCCUCCCAAGGAGCCCACUGCCGAGCGGGGGAGACAGACAGGAGCAGAUGGUGUGGCCGUGGGGCCUGCAAUGGGCCUCACUGAGGCCUGAGCUGAGAGAAGGAAACAUCCUGGAGAAGCUGAGACUUCAAGGAAGAGUCGCUUUCCUGGUGAACCCUUGAGGGAGGACCUUCCAGGCAGAGGUGGGGAAACCAGCUUUGCCUUUCUCCUAGCUCUACUGAGCUCCCGUCUUACUUCUACUCUACACCAGGACAGAGUCCACCUGACACUUCUGAAUGACGGGACGUCCUUCAUCUUCUGCUGGAGAUUUAGAGACAGACUUCCAACAAGGAAAGCCAGGCCUCUGGCCAAGGACACCCCUGAACACAGAGCAGAGAGGAGCCGAAACAGGACACUGAAGACAUCCAGGCCGCCCAGACCCACAGACUGCGCCCCGACCCUACCUCCCCUGCAGUUAGUGCAGGAGGAUGAGACAGAGCAAGGUCACCCAUCAGGAUGCUGUCUCUCUAGCGCCCUCUGCCGGGUUCUCAUGAGAAGACCCCCUUGACAGGAGGAGACAAGGAGUCGUUGCAAGGAGCCAGACAGACAGGUGGUGAAGGACAGCGCUGGACAGGUGUGAGACUGCUCUAUGAGGCCAUUCAUCUCAUAAAUAGUUGCUGAGUACCAAAGACGUGCCGGGCGCUAUUCCAGUGCCAGGGAUAUGAACGGAUGAGACAAGGCCUUCCGGUGGAGCAAGCAUCCUGGGUGAUCGCAGAGAGAGAAUAAACAAAUACAUAGCGUCGGCAGUAAAAAGCGCUACACGUAGAGAAACAAAACAGAAUAAGAGAUAGGAAGUGAUGCAAAUGGGACUCAAAAUAGGGCACUCAGGGAAGGCCUUAUGAGGAAGUGACCUUUGGGCGAAGAUCUAAAUAAAGCGAGGGAGUGAAGUGUGCAGAUCUCGGAAGGAAGAAUUUUCGGGCAGAGGGGAAGCGAAGGCCAAGGCCCUGAGACGGGAAGGUACGUGGGGCGUCUGAGGAACGAUGAGGGGUCACUGCGCCUGAGCAGGGAGCAGGGCCGGGAGGCUGGGCAGUGGCAGGGGCAACAUGUAGAACUAGCUGGAGAUAGUAAGGACUUGAGCUUUUAUUUCAAGUGAAGAGAACUGUCUUUGGAGGAUUACUAUUAUUAUUUAUUAAUCAUAUUAAUCACCUAUUAAUAUUAUCCAGUGCUAUGCUAUGGCAUGUUAUGAUUGCUCUAGCUACCACUUCUUGAGCAUUUAGUCUAUGCCAACUGGAUUAGGUGCGUCAGAUUAAUCAUCCCAUUUAAUCUUCCCGACCUCCUUGAGGCAGGGACUUUGCCAUCUCAGUUUUACUGCUGGGGAAACUGAGGCUCGGAGAAGCCUUGCCCAAGAUCUUUCAUUUAUUCCACAAAUAGUUAUGAGCACCUUUUGUAUGCUCUUUCGAAGUGCUAGGACACACAGCUUUAACUCACAGGGUCGUGAUUAGAACCCUGCUCUGCAUCCCAAGAGCCAGCACUCAGCCCCACUAUGCCCUGCUGGGGGGGGACGGAAGAAGAGGAAGAAAUGAAGGCAGCCAUCCCAGCGGCAGGGAGCUCCUCCUUCCUGAAGGCGUGUGGGCGGAAGGGGCUGAGCACACGAAGGUGCCGGCGCCUCUGAGUGUUGGGCCAAAGGACUGGAAGUGAGAACACUCAGGUUCCAAGUCCCCCUGUGUGCGCUGAGCUGUGUACCCCGUGAUGGAUCUGCUGCAGUCCUAACUCCGGGUACCUGGGAAUGUGACCUUAUGUGGAAAUCGGGUCUUUGCAGCUGUGAUCAAGUUAAGACCACGUCGUUAGGGUGGACCCUAAUCCAAUAUGACGCUGUCCUUGUAAGAAGAGACUCACAGAGACACACAGGGAGAAGGCCGUACUACGACCAAGGCAGAGAGAGCAGUGACGUCCCUACAAGCAAGGAACACCAAGCAUUGCCACCACCCCCACAAGCUAAGGGACAGGCAUGGACAGAUUCUCCCCUGGAGCCUUCAGAUGCCCUGCUGCCAUCUUGAUUCUGGACUUGUGGCCUCCAGAACCGUGAGAGAGUAAGUUUCUAUCGUUUUAAGCUGCCCAGUUUUUGGUACUUUGAUGCAGCAGCUCUAGGAAACCGAUAAACCUCCCGCCUCCCUCGCCACCACCCCAUCCAGGGCCUGUCCCCUCCCGUCUGCUCCCAGAACCCAACAGCUGCGUCACGACACAGCUGGGUGCGAAAGGUGAGGGACGACUCGGAUGAAUGAACGAAGGAAUGAACGAGUGGGUGGUGGAGCUCUAUUUAAUUCUGAGAAAAACUAACUCUUUGCAGACAAUUACUGCACUAGUCAUUGACUUUAGCACUGAAAAGUUAUGUCAAAAGAAAACAUGUAAAGUUAAUCCUAUUAAAAAUUUUCAUAAUUUGGGGCAGCGGGACCUUCCUAAGCACGGCAUCAAGGGCAGUUGCAGAUUUUGUGGGGCCUGAAGUUUAUAUAAUUUGAGAAGCCCUUUUAAGAAAAAGAAUCCAAAAUUACAAAUACAAAAUUAGGUCCAGCACCUUGAAAGGGGUCCCAGCAGGGGCGGGGGUCUUGAAACAUAAGCUUCUUGAACUCCCCUUCUGUAUAAACAACAGAAGAUCAGAAACCAUAACGAAAAAUAUUGAUGAAGGGGCUGGCCCCGUUGCUGAGUGGUUAAGUUCACGUGCUCUGCUUCGGCGGCCCAGGCUUUCACUGGUUCGG
Equus caballus (horse) is the source of this 2818-nucleotide non-coding RNA. Lineage: Eukaryota; Metazoa; Chordata; Mammalia; Perissodactyla; Equidae. The record is from RefSeq and is a predicted model, not a curated record.